This 1423-nucleotide long non-coding RNA is filed under the name Physeter macrocephalus (sperm whale). Its description in RNAcentral is "Physeter catodon (sperm whale) lncRNA (ENSPCTG00005014690.1)". Lineage: Eukaryota; Metazoa; Chordata; Mammalia; Artiodactyla; Physeteridae. The record is from RNAcentral.
CAAUUCCCCUAUAAUUGGUAACCUCCUCCUCCUUCUCCUCCCCCCAGAGGAAGACUACUGCCUGUGUCCUGCCAGAUGUCUGCCAUACACAGUGGGGUAUCACCCCAGGGCCCUUGCUUCAGAGCUGAAAGAUUCUCUAUCCAAUAAACCCUUGAUGUCUCUACCUGUGUCUCCAUGCUCUUUCUUGCAACCCGCUGCUGGGCAACUACAAGGCUUGCAGACCUGCAGGGUGCAGCCUAACACGAGGUCAACCUGCACCAACCUGGUGGAACCCUGGGGGGAAACAUAGAGCGGCAGAAGACUCUAGGCCCCAAAUGCCCUAAACCCUCUGCUUCCCAUGCGCAGUCGGGUCUCCAGAGUGCCGCCUGUCCCCUCCCAAACAUAGGUGUCCGAGAAAAGCUGCGGCUGCACGAGUUCCCAUCUCACCACACUCCAAUGGAACAGGCAUAGGAGAACAGCUCUUUCCCAGGGCUGUGACGCUGGGGUUCUGGGAAGUGCCUGUCUCUGUCAGACGCAAGUCCCACGCCUCCUCCAAGCGUGUAGGAGGCGGUGAAAGGCCGAGGAGGCUCCAGGAAACCUCAGACCCGUGAACACAAACCCUCAAAUAACAGCCUGGGACUGACUCCGGCCUGCCAGCCUGCGGGAAGUGUCUUGGCCUCUGGCUUUUUUUUCAUUGGUUAUCGGCUCCGCGAACCGCCCCUCCCGGAGACUGCCGGGAAUUCUCCGCACAGUCACUAGUGCGCAGGCGCAAAGAGUGCUCCCUCGCUUCUUCUAGAGCUAGCUGCUGGGUUUGGAACGGGGCGGUAAAACCUGCCAGGGGCCAGGAUUCCGGAUCCGGCUGGAUGCCAGUGUGCCUGAGUACUUUUCUCAACCAUGUGGUAAUCCUUACUUUCAGUCAUGAGUUAGAGCCUGCCGACUGAUGGAUUUCAGAAGCAACCUUUUCUCUGGGACACCCCCAGAAUUCUAUUCUCUUUGCUGUUUAGUUUCUCCUUAGAGGACUCCUCCAGUUUCCUGCCUGUGAAGGUUAUGUGUUGAGUUGCUGGAGACUGGGACCAGGAUAAGGAAAGAAGCUUAAGAAGAUUUCAGACUGUGGUUAUUACUCAUUCUAACUGUGUCUGUCUGCCCUUCUCUGUGCAUCCUCUACAUCUUCUCAAAAUCAAUUUAUCCAGAGAUCAAAUGUAUUUUAUUAGACAAGGGAGCAAAGUUAACUGUAGAGGGGGAAGAUCAGGGCAAUGAGUUUGUGUAUAAAUUUUCAACCAGUCCUCUACUUCCAGAUCCAUACCUCACCAAGGUCCUUUUCUGUGGAACCUGGGCCUUUCAGGGAAUUUGUAAAUUGCUUAAUUUAUCUCACUCAUAAGCUCUUUCAUACCAGAGUUCCUUGAAUUUUCUUAUUUGUUGUAGUUUUGUCUUCAUAUUUGUUUUU